Molecule: ribosomal RNA, 390 nt
Filed under: Burkholderia sp.
Lineage: Bacteria; Pseudomonadati; Pseudomonadota; Betaproteobacteria; Burkholderiales; Burkholderiaceae
Description: bacterial SSU rRNA
Rfam family: Bacterial small subunit ribosomal RNA
Source: RNAcentral
GGGAAAUACGGCAUGCUUACCAUGCAGUCGAACGGCAGCACGGGUGCUUGCACCUGGUGGCGAGUGGCGAACGGGUGAGUAAUACAUCGGAACAUGUCCUGUAGUGGGGGAUAGCCCGGCGAAAGCCGGAUUAAUACCGCAUACGAUCUACGGAUGAAAGCGGGGGACCUUCGGGCCUCGCGCUAUAGGGUUGGCCGAUGGCUGAUUAGCUAGUUGGUGGGGUAAAGGCCUACCAAGGCGACGAUCAGUAGCUGGUCUGAGAGGACGACCAGCCACACUGGGACUGAGACACGGCCCAGACUCCUACGGGAGGCAGCAGUGGGGAAUUUUGGACAAUGGGCGAAAGCCUGAUCCAGCAAUGCCGCGUGUGUGAAGAAGGCCUUCGGGUUG